This 100-nucleotide ribosomal RNA is filed under the name uncultured bacterium. RNAcentral's name for it is "partial 16S ribosomal RNA". It matches the Rfam family "Bacterial small subunit ribosomal RNA", at positions 392 to 508 of the family's 1533-position model. The record is from RNAcentral.
CGACGCCGCGUGGGGGAUGAAGGCCUUCGGGUUGUAAACCCCUUUCACCAGGAGCGAAUCAAGACGGUACCUGGAAAAGAAGCGCCGGCUAACUACGUGC